CCUUCCAUAAAAAAGCCUUUAAAUUUGUUCAAGAAAGCUUUUCUUACCGUUGCAUGUAUCCUAUCUCCCUAUAAUAGAAAAUAAACAUGUAGUAUCUUUUAGUAAAAAUAAAGUAAGCGUAUGUUCAAUUUGAAAAUAAAAGUCGUAUCUUACAUUUUGAUCCGAAGGAACUAACUUUGGGCUAUUCAUCACUUCUGGACGAUGAAAUUCAGGCAUAGUAUAUAGACAAAUCACUAUGACUUUGAUCUUCCAUUUGUCUCCAAGAUGAGUGAAUGUCACGCAUAGAAUUAUACCCAAGUGCCAUAUCCUGAGAACAAUAAGACAUUCAAGAAAAAAUAUUAAUACUUGCUUCGUAUUUAAAUAAUAAAAUAAAAAUAAUAUGUUCUAUUUUAAAGCAUCAACAUUUAAGAACUAAGAAAAUUACAGGAGUGACAGUAGUAAAAAAAAAAUUACGAAAUAAAAAUUACAGAAGGAGUGAUUGUAGGGAAGUGGCAUGCAAUAUCUAUAUCUAUAUUACUUAUAAAGGCGUGAUUUUUAAAUUUUUUCCUCUUUCCAAAAAUGCCUCUAUCAUUUUUUACUAAUAUUUUUAUGUCCAGUAAUUUUCAACCAAUCAUUUCAAAUAAUUAACUAAGUAAUAAUUUAUUCCCAAAUAAAGAUAAAUAUU
This 664-nucleotide long non-coding RNA is filed under the name Ananas comosus (pineapple). RNAcentral describes it as "long non-coding RNA (ACOM_LNC043068)". Lineage: Eukaryota; Viridiplantae; Streptophyta; Magnoliopsida; Poales; Bromeliaceae. The record is from RNAcentral.